RNAcentral lists this transfer RNA (88 nucleotides) under Halanaerobiaceae bacterium. Its description in RNAcentral is "tRNA-Leu". It matches the Rfam family "tRNA". Rfam says of the family: Transfer RNA (tRNA) molecules are approximately 80 nucleotides in length. Lineage: Bacteria; Bacillati; Bacillota; Clostridia; Halanaerobiales; Halanaerobiaceae. The record is from RNAcentral.
GCCGAGGUGGCGGAACUGGCAGACGCGCUAGUUUGAGGGACUAGUGGUCGCAUAGACCGUGCGGGUUCGAGCCCCGCCUUCGGCACCA